This 107-nucleotide small nuclear RNA is filed under the name Microtus ochrogaster (prairie vole). Lineage: Eukaryota; Metazoa; Chordata; Mammalia; Rodentia; Cricetidae. The record is from RNAcentral.
GUGCUCCCCUCGGCACCACAUAUACUAAAACUGAAGCAACACCGAGAAGAUUAGCAUGGCCGCCAUGCAUAGACACUGUGCAAAUUUGCUAUGCAUUCCAUUUUAAA